This 73-nucleotide transfer RNA is filed under the name Spirochaetia bacterium. RNAcentral's name for it is "tRNA-Gly". It matches the Rfam family "tRNA". Rfam says of the family: Transfer RNA (tRNA) molecules are approximately 80 nucleotides in length. Lineage: Bacteria; Pseudomonadati; Spirochaetota; Spirochaetia. The record is from RNAcentral. RNAcentral also lists the same sequence under 1 other name.
UGCAGGAUGGUACAUGGGUAGUACACAAGCUUGCCUAAGCUUGAGAUAGAAGGUUCGAUUCCUUCUCCUGCAA